Molecule: ribosomal RNA, 2862 nt
Filed under: Escherichia coli
Lineage: Bacteria; Pseudomonadati; Pseudomonadota; Gammaproteobacteria; Enterobacterales; Enterobacteriaceae
Description: partial 23S ribosomal RNA
Rfam family: Bacterial large subunit ribosomal RNA
Source: RNAcentral
GACGUGCUAAUCUGCGAUAAGCGUCGGUGAGGUGAUAUGAACCGUUAUAACCGGCGAUUUCCGAAUGGGGAAACCCAGUGUGUUUCGACACACUAUCAUUAACUGAAUCCAUAGGUUAAUGAGGCGAACCGGGGGAACUGAAACAUCUAAGUACCCCGAGGAAAAGAAAUCAACCGAGAUUCCCCCAGUAGCGGCGAGCGAACGGGGAGGAGCCCAGAGCCUGAAUCAGUGUGUGUGUUAGUGGAAGCGUCUGGAAAGGCGCGCGAUACAGGGUGACAGCCCCGUACACAAAAAUGCACAUAUUGUGAGCUCGAUGAGUAGGGCGGGACACGUGGUAUCCUGUCUGAAUAUGGGGGGACCAUCCUCCAAGGCUAAAUACUCCUGACUGACCGAUAGUGAACCAGUACCGUGAGGGAAAGGCGAAAAGAACCCCGGCGAGGGGAGUGAAAAAGAACCUGAAACCGUGUACGUACAAGCAGUGGGAGCCUCUUAAUGGGGUGACUGCGUACCUUUUGUAUAAUGGGUCAGCGACUUAUAUUCUGUAGCAAGGUUAACCGAAUAGGGGAGCCGAAGGGAAACCGAGUCUUAACUGGGCGUUAAGUUGCAGGGUAUAGACCCGAAACCCGGUGAUCUAGCCAUGGGCAGGUUGAAGGUUGGGUAACACUAACUGGAGGACCGAACCGACUAAUGUUGAAAAAUUAGCGGAUGACUUGUGGCUGGGGGUGAAAGGCCAAUCAAACCGGGAGAUAGCUGGUUCUCCCCGAAAGCUAUUUAGGUAGCGCCUCGUGAAUUCAUCUCCGGGGGUAGAGCACUGUUUCGGCAAGGGGGUCAUCCCGACUUACCAACCCGAUGCAAACUGCGAAUACCGGAGAAUGUUAUCACGGGAGACACACGGCGGGUGCUAACGUCCGUCGUGAAGAGGGAAACAACCCAGACCGCCAGCUAAGGUCCCAAAGUCAUGGUUAAGUGGGAAACGAUGUGGGAAGGCCCAGACAGCCAGGAUGUUGGCUUAGAAGCAGCCAUCAUUUAAAGAAAGCGUAAUAGCUCACUGGUCGAGUCGGCCUGCGCGGAAGAUGUAACGGGGCUAAACCAUGCACCGAAGCUGCGGCAGCGACACUAUGUGUUGUUGGGUAGGGGAGCGUUCUGUAAGCCUGUGAAGGUGGCCUGUGAGGGUUGCUGGAGGUAUCAGAAGUGCGAAUGCUGACAUAAGUAACGAUAAAGCGGGUGAAAAGCCCGCUCGCCGGAAGACCAAGGGUUCCUGUCCAACGUUAAUCGGGGCAGGGUGAGUCGACCCCUAAGGCGAGGCCGAAAGGCGUAGUCGAUGGGAAACAGGUUAAUAUUCCUGUACUUGGUGUUACUGCGAAGGGGGGACGGAGAAGGCUAUGUUGGCCGGGCGACGGUUGUCCCGGUUUAAGCGUGUAGGCUGGUUUUCCAGGCAAAUCCGGAAAAUCAAGGCUGAGGCGUGAUGACGAGGCACUACGGUGCUGAAGCGACAAAUGCCCUGCUUCCAGGAAAAGCCUCUAAGCAUCAGGUAACAUCAAAUCGUACCCCAAACCGACACAGGUGGUCAGGUAGAGAAUACCAAGGCGCUUGAGAGAACUCGGGUGAAGGAACUAGGCAAAAUGGUGCCGUAACUUCGGGAGAAGGCACGCUGAUAUGUAGGUGAAGCGACUUGCUCGUGGAGCUGAAAUCAGUCGAAGAUACCAGCUGGCUGCAACUGUUUAUUAAAAACACAGCACUGUGCAAACACGAAAGUGGACGUAUACGGUGUGACGCCUGCCCGGUGCCGGAAGGUUAAUUGAUGGGGUUAGCGGUAACGCGAAGCUCUUGAUCGAAGCCCCGGUAAACGGCGGCCGUAACUAUAACGGUCCUAAGGUAGCGAAAUUCCUUGUCGGGUAAGUUCCGACCUGCACGAAUGGCGUAAUGAUGGCCAGGCUGUCUCCACCCGAGACUCAGUGAAAUUGAACUCGCUGUGAAGAUGCAGUGUACCCGCGGCAAGACGGAAAGACCCCGUGAACCUUUACUAUAGCUUGACACUGAACAUUGAGCCUUGAUGUGUAGGAUAGGUGGGAGGCUUUGAAGUGUGGACGCCAGUCUGCAUGGAGCCGACCUUGAAAUACCACCCUUUAAUGUUUGAUGUUCUAACGUGGGCCCCUUACCGGGGUUGCGGACAGUGUCUGGUGGGUAGUUUGACUGGGGCGGUCUCCUCCUAAAGAGUAACGGAGGAGCACGAAGGUUGGCUAAUCCUGGUCGGACAUCAGGAGGUUAGUGCAAUGGCAUAAGCCAGCUUGACUGCGAGCGUGACGGCGCGAGCAGGUGCGAAAGCAGGUCAUAGUGAUCCGGUGGUUCUGAAUGGAAGGGCCAUCGCUCAACGGAUAAAAGGUACUCCGGGGAUAACAGGCUGAUACCGCCCAAGAGUUCAUAUCGACGGCGGUGUUUGGCACCUCGAUGUCGGCUCAUCACAUCCUGGGGCUGAAGUAGGUCCCAAGGGUAUGGCUGUUCGCCAUUUAAAGUGGUACGCGAGCUGGGUUUAGAACGUCGUGAGACAGUUCGGUCCCUAUCUGCCGUGGGCGCUGGAGAACUGAGGGGGGCUGCUCCUAGUACGAGAGGACCGGAGUGGACGCAUCACUGGUGUUCGGGUUGUCAUGCCAAUGGCACUGCCCGGUAGCUAAAUGCGGAAGAGAUAAGUGCUGAAAGCAUCUAAGCACGAAACUUGCCCCGAGAUGAGUUCUCCCUGACUCCUUGAGAGUCCUGAAGGAACGUUGAAGACGACGACGUUGAUAGGCCGGGUGUGUAAGCGCAGCGAUGCGUUGAGCUAACCGGUACUAAUGAACCGUGAGGCUUAACCUUACAACGCCGAAG